Molecule: ribosomal RNA, 1424 nt
Filed under: Klebsiella sp.
Lineage: Bacteria; Pseudomonadati; Pseudomonadota; Gammaproteobacteria; Enterobacterales; Enterobacteriaceae
Description: bacterial SSU rRNA
Rfam family: Bacterial small subunit ribosomal RNA
Source: RNAcentral
UACACAUGCAGUCGAGCGGUAGCACAGAGAGCUUGCUCUCGGGUGACGAGCGGCGGACGGGUGAGUAAUGUCUGGGAAACUGCCUGAUGGAGGGGGAUAACUACUGGAAACGGUAGCUAAUACCGCAUAACGUCGCAAGACCAAAGUGGGGGACCUUCGGGCCUCAUGCCAUCAGAUGUGCCCAGAUGGGAUUAGCUAGUAGGUGGGGUAACGGCUCACCUAGGCGACGAUCCCUAGCUGGUCUGAGAGGAUGACCAGCCACACUGGAACUGAGACACGGUCCAGACUCCUACGGGAGGCAGCAGUGGGGAAUAUUGCACAAUGGGCGCAAGCCUGAUGCAGCCAUGCCGCGUGUAUGAAGAAGGCCUUCGGGUUGUAAAGUACUUUCAGCGGGGAGGAAGGCGAUAAGGUUAAUAACCUUGUCGAUUGACGUUACCCGCAGAAGAAGCACCGGCUAACUCCGUGCCAGCAGCCGCGGUAAUACGGAGGGUGCAAGCGUUAAUCGGAAUUACUGGGCGUAAAGCGCACGCAGGCGGUCUGUCAAGUCGGAUGUGAAAUCCCCGGGCUCAACCUGGGAACUGCAUUCGAAACUGGCAGGCUAGAGUCUUGUAGAGGGGGGUAGAAUUCCAGGUGUAGCGGUGAAAUGCGUAGAGAUCUGGAGGAAUACCGGUGGCGAAGGCGGCCCCCUGGACAAAGACUGACGCUCAGGUGCGAAAGCGUGGGGAGCAAACAGGAUUAGAUACCCUGGUAGUCCACGCCGUAAACGAUGUCGAUUUGGAGGUUGUGCCCUUGAGGCGUGGCUUCCGGAGCUAACGCGUUAAAUCGACCGCCUGGGGAGUACGGCCGCAAGGUUAAAACUCAAAUGAAUUGACGGGGGCCCGCACAAGCGGUGGAGCAUGUGGUUUAAUUCGAUGCAACGCGAAGAACCUUACCUGGUCUUGACAUCCACAGAACUUAGCAGAGAUGCUUUGGUGCCUUCGGGAACUGUGAGACAGGUGCUGCAUGGCUGUCGUCAGCUCGUGUUGUGAAAUGUUGGGUUAAGUCCCGCAACGAGCGCAACCCUUAUCCUUUGUUGCCAGCGGUUCGGCCGGGAACUCAAAGGAGACUGCCAGUGAUAAACUGGAGGAAGGUGGGGAUGACGUCAAGUCAUCAUGGCCCUUACGACCAGGGCUACACACGUGCUACAAUGGCACAUACAAAGAGAAGCGACCUCGCGAGAGCAAGCGGACCUCAUAAAGUAUGUCGUAGUCCGGAUUGGAGUCUGCAACUCGACUCCAUGAAGUCGGAAUCGCUAGUAAUCGUAGAUCAGAAUGCUACGGUGAAUACGUUCCCGGGCCUUGUACACACCGCCCGUCACACCAUGGGAGUGGGUUGCAAAAGAAGUAGGUAGCUUAACCUUCGGGAGGGCGCUUACCACUUUNAUC